CGUCACCACUGCCACAGCGUGCUUUCCUCCCUUUUCGGGGCGCGCAUACAUGUCGUUUCCGCCCCCCCCCCAUCCCCCAUCCUCGCCUAAAAAUCCACAGCCGCAUCCGCAUCGACAUGCGCGAGAACUCGCGCUGAGCACGCAAGAGGCAAGCAGCGCCCUCACCCCCUCCUCCCCACCAAACACGCAAAGAAAUGAACAGCGACAACAUGCGGGCCUCAUUCCGAACCCCUCUUAAAAGCGUGUCUGACCCGGUAUGGUGCCCGCCAUGAAGUUGGACAGUCUGUGCAGGAUAUCGGCGGCGUGCCAGAACGCCCUCUCCUACACGCCGCCGUCCCCCUCGUAUUGAGGACACAAGAACUGGCUUGCCCUCAUCAUUCUCAGUGCUCAUAAUGCUCCUCGUGGUAGUGUGCAUCGCCUUUCCGUGUGUGAUGAAACGGCUGCAAUCACCACUGCCACGGGUGCGAUGUGCUUGCCAAGCGGGGGGACGGCAUGUUGCGCGUGAUGCGCAUUUCCUACCGAGUGCCGUCGGACAAGAAAGCCAAGGUCUCCGCGAGGAUGGCGCGUCUGCAGUGCAAGCAGCACCGCCCACGCUCCAGUUACGCAGAGUCGUUCGGCGACGGCGUAUCCAGCUCGAAGGAGAGCGGCGACAGCCUCCCGCGAGCUCGACAUAGAACCGUCGCCAGACAAGUACACGGAGCCGGAGGUAUGCUUGCAGCAGCUGCGGAUGUACUGCAUGGGCAAUAUGGACCUGCCAAACCGAUGGAAGAACACAGGGAGCCGCAUGCGCUUUGGGGCUCCAUCAAGCCGAUCAACAACACCGUACACGGGUGCGCUACAUGGUGCGGCCGUGAGUGUGCUGAGGCGGUACACGCCUUUGCGUAGGUGGAUGCUUCGAUGGCCAGCGCGUCUGCGCUACAGGAGAUGUCGCCGUGUCUCUCUCUCACACACAGCAUCGUCUUCCCUGUGCUGUUGGCAAGUGUCUGAGAAGCAACCCGCCCGUUGGUUCAUGGUCCUUAUCUAUUUUGCGUGCGGGCGUGCUCUUGACGGACGAGGAAGGCGGACUCCCCACGCGUCUCCACAAUUUUUCCCGCCGUAGCUUCGUUCCUGCACCCCCUCCUCCCUCUCCACCCCCACCCCUUCGUUUAUUCUCACGCAUGGUUGCUCUCGAGGCCAUCGAGAGGAUGGGGGGAUGGCCGUGGUGUGGAAAAGAGGAGAGGGAGGGGGAAGGCCAACCGAGCCGCCGACGUGCACGACGAGGAGGAAGGGGGGGGAAGAAGGGGCGGUAGAGCGUUGAGAGAGGUUUUCGGACAGGCGUGUGCGUGUGUGCAUCUUUUCCUUUGACUGCAGGGAAGUGGUCGAGUGAGUGGAGUGGGGUCGCUGUGCUGCGUCUCUGUCUGUGGACGCCUUUUCCGUGUUCCUUCGCUUGCUCGCGCACAUGCCGCCUCGCAUGGGAGAGGGUGUGCGUGUGUGUCUGUGUUUGUGUCUGUGUCUCUCUCACGUAGGGGUGCCUUGGCUUCUCUUUGCUCACCACCACCACCGCGCGCCCACCCAUCCCUCCGCUCCACGCAUAUCUCCUCAUUCUGCCCUUCCACCGUAUGCUGUGUCUGCAUGUCUCUCUCGCCAACGCAACUUGUGUGCUACUGGAUAUAGAUGUUGCUACUCCCGCUGCUGAAGUGAACUCGAGACCUCAUCUGCCAUAUAGCCCGCGC
Molecule: unclassified non-coding RNA, 1712 nt
Filed under: Leishmania donovani
Lineage: Eukaryota; Euglenozoa; Kinetoplastea; Trypanosomatida; Trypanosomatidae
Description: gene:unknown
Source: RNAcentral